AAUUCGCCCUUAGAGUUUGAUCCUGGCUCAGGACGAACGCUGGCGGCGUGCCUAACACAUGCAAGUCGAACGGGGUAGAGAGCUUCGGUUUUCUACUUAGUGGCGAACGGGUGAGUAACGCGUGAGGAACCUGCCUUUCAGUGGGGGACAACAGUUGGAAACGACUGCUAAUACCGCAUAAUGUUGUCGGAUCGCAUGGUCUGACAACCAAAGCUUUAUGUGCUGAAAGAUGGCCUCGCGUCUGAUUAGCUAGUUGGUGGGGUAAUGGCCCACCAAGGCGACGAUCAGUAGCCGGACUGAGAGGUUGAACGGCCACAUUGGGACUGAGAUACGGCCCAGACUCCUACGGGAGGCAGCAGUGGGGAAUAUUGGGCAAUGGGGGAAACCCUGACCCAGCAACGCCGCGUGAAGGAAGAAGGCCUUCGGGUUGUAAACUUCUUUUACCAGGGACGAAGGACGUGACGGUACCUGGAGAAAAAGCCACGGCUAACUACGUGCCAGCAGCCGCGGUAAUACGUAGGUGGCAAGCGUUGUCCGGAUUUACUGGGUGUAAAGGGUGCGCAGGCGGGACUGCAAGUUGGAUGUGAAAUACCGGAGCUCAACUCCGGAACUGCAUCCAAAACUGUAGUUCUUGAGUGGAGUAGAGGUAAGCGGAAUUCCGAGUGUAGCGGUGAAAUGCGUAGAUAUUCGGAGGAACACCAGUGGCGAAGGCGGCUUACUGGGCUCUAACUGACGCUGAGGCACGAAAGUGUGGGUAGCAAACAGGAUUAGAUACCCUGGUAGUCCACACUGUAAACGAUGAAUACUAGGUGUGGGGGGACUGACCCCUUCCGUGCCGGAGUUAACACAAUAAGUAUUCCACCUGGGGAGUACGACCGCAAGGUUGAAACUCAAAGGAAUUGACGGGGGCCCGCACAAGCAGUGGAGUAUGUGGUUUAAUUCGAAGCAACGCGAAGAACCUUACCUGGUCUUGACAUCCGUUUGACCGGACCUUAAUCGGUCCUUCUCUUCGGAGCAAGCGAGACAGGUGGUGCAUGGUUGUCGUCAGCUCGUGUCGUGAGAUGUUGGGUUAAGUCCCGCAACGAGCGCAACCCCUAUCUUUAGUAGCCAGCAUUUAAGGUGGGCACUCUAGAGAGACUGCCAGGGAUAACCUGGAGGAAGGUGGGGAUGACGUCAAAUCAUCAUGCCCCUUAUGACCAGGGCUACACACGUGCUACAAUGGCGUAAACAAAGGGAAGCAAUCACGUGAGUGUGAGCAAAUCUCAAAAAUAACGUCUCAGUUCGGAUUGUAGUCUGCAACUCGACUACAUGAAGCUGGAAUCGCUAGUAAUCGCGAAUCAGAAUGUCGCGGUGAAUACGUUCCCGGGUCUUGUACACACCGCCCGUCA
RNAcentral lists this ribosomal RNA (1388 nucleotides) under uncultured bacterium. RNAcentral describes it as "partial 16S ribosomal RNA". It matches the Rfam family "Bacterial small subunit ribosomal RNA". The record is from RNAcentral.